UCAGUCGACUCCUACGGGGAGGCAGCAGUGGGGGAAUAUUGCACAAUGGGCGCAAGCCUGAUGCAGCCAUGCCGCGUGUAUGAAGAAGGCCUUCGGGUUGUAAAGUACUUUCAGCAGUGAGGAAGGUUCAUGCGUUAAUAGCGUAUGGAUUUGACGUUAGCUGCAGAAGAAGCACCGGCUAACUCCGUGCCAGCAGCCGCGGUAAUACGGAGGGUGCGAGCGUUAAUCGGAAUUACUGGGCGUAAAGCGCAUGCAGGUGGUUUGUUAAGUCAGAUGUGAAAGCCCGGGGCGUCAACCUCGGAAUUGCAUUUGAAACUAGGCAGACUAGAGUACUGUAGAGGGGGGUAGGAAUUUCAGGUGUAGCGGUGAAAUGCGUAGAGAUCUGAAGGAAUACCGGUGGCGAAGGCGGCCCCCUCGGACAGAUACUGACACUCAGAUGCGAAAGCGUGGGGAGCAAACAGGAUUAGAUACCCUGGUAG
This 479-nucleotide ribosomal RNA is filed under the name uncultured bacterium. Its description in RNAcentral is "bacterial SSU rRNA". It matches the Rfam family "Bacterial small subunit ribosomal RNA", at positions 328 to 793 of the family's 1533-position model. The record is from RNAcentral.